This 73-nucleotide transfer RNA is filed under the name Salmonella enterica subsp. enterica serovar Dublin. Its description in RNAcentral is "tRNA-Gly". It matches the Rfam family "tRNA". From Rfam's summary of the family: Transfer RNA (tRNA) molecules are approximately 80 nucleotides in length. The record is from RNAcentral. Lineage: Bacteria; Pseudomonadati; Pseudomonadota; Gammaproteobacteria; Enterobacterales; Enterobacteriaceae.
GCGGGAAUAGCUCAGUUGGUAGAGCACGACCUUGCCAAGGUCGGGGUCGCGAGUUCGAGUCUCGGAUUAUGCG